UGGGGAAUUUUGGACAAUGGGCGAAAGCCUGAUCCAGCAAUGCCGCGUGUGUGAAGAAGGCCUUCGGGUUGUAAAGCACUUUUGUCCGGAAAGAAAUCCUUGGCUCUAAUACAGUCGGGGGAUGACGGUACCGGAAGAAUAAGCACCGGCUAACUACGUGCCAGCAGCCGCGGUAAUACGUAGGGUGCAAGCGUUAAUCGGAAUUACUGGGCGUAAAGCGUGCGCAGGCGGUUUGCUAAGACCGAUGUGAAAUCCCCGGGCUCAACCUGGGAACUGCAUUGGUGACUGGCAGGCUAGAGUAUGGCAGAGGGGGGUAGAAUUCCACGUGUAGCAGUGAAAUGCGUAGAGAUGUGGAGGAAUACCGAUGGCGAAGGCAGCCCCCUGGGCCAAUACUGACGCUCAUGCACGAAAGCGUGGGGAGCAAACAGGAUUAGAUACCCUGGUAGUCCACGCCCUAAACGAUGUCAACUAGUUGUUGGGGAUUCAUUUCCUUAGUAACGUAGCUAACGCGUGAAGUUGACCGCCUGGGGAGUACGGUCGCAAGAUUAAAACUUCAAA
Molecule: ribosomal RNA, 558 nt
Filed under: uncultured bacterium
Lineage: Bacteria
Description: partial 16S ribosomal RNA
Rfam family: Bacterial small subunit ribosomal RNA
Source: RNAcentral